UACUAGCGGUCCAAGUCGCAGCCAUAUUUAUUGGGUCUAAAACAUCCGUAGCUUGCUUGAUAAGUUCCCUGUGAAAUCUUAUCUCUCAAAGAUAAGGCGAGCAGGAAGUACUGUCAAGCUAGAGACUGGGAGACGUGAGAAGUACGGCCAAAGUAACAGUAAAAUGUGUUAAUCUUGGUCGGACUCACAAUAGCGAAGGCAUCUCACGAGAACAGUUCUGACAGUCAGGGAUGAAGGCUAGGGGCGCAAAACGGAUUAGAUACCCCAGUA
RNAcentral lists this ribosomal RNA (270 nucleotides) under uncultured prokaryote. RNAcentral's name for it is "partial 16S ribosomal RNA". It matches the Rfam family "Archaeal small subunit ribosomal RNA", at positions 474 to 743 of the family's 1478-position model. The record is from RNAcentral.